Molecule: ribosomal RNA, 245 nt
Filed under: uncultured bacterium
Lineage: Bacteria
Description: partial 16S ribosomal RNA
Rfam family: Bacterial small subunit ribosomal RNA
Source: RNAcentral
UACGUAGGGUGCGAGCGUUAAUCGGAAUUACUGGGCGUAAAGCGUGCGCAGGCGGUUUGAUAAGCCAGAUGUGAAAUCCCCGGGCUCAACCUGGGAACUGCGUUUGGAACUGUCAGGCUAGAGUAUGGGAGAGGGAGGUAGAAUUCCACGUGUAGCAGUGAAAUGCGUAGAGAUGUGGAGGAAUACCGAUGGCGAAGGCAGCCUCCUGGCCCAAUACUGACGCUCAUGCACGAAAGCGUGGGGAG